Molecule: transfer RNA, 78 nt
Filed under: Candidatus Uhrbacteria bacterium CG_4_9_14_3_um_filter_36_7
Lineage: Bacteria; Candidatus Uhriibacteriota
Description: tRNA-Arg
Rfam family: tRNA
About the family: Transfer RNA (tRNA) molecules are approximately 80 nucleotides in length. Their secondary structure includes four short double-helical elements and three loops (D, anti-codon, and T loops).
Source: RNAcentral
GCGCCCGUCGCUUAGCUUGGAUAAAGCGUUGGCCUCCGGAGCCGAAGAUCGCAGGUUCAAAUCCUGCCGGGCGCACCA